RNAcentral lists this non-coding RNA (72 nucleotides) under Shewanella algae. The record is from RNAcentral. Lineage: Bacteria; Pseudomonadati; Pseudomonadota; Gammaproteobacteria; Alteromonadales; Shewanellaceae.
AAGCGAAACCACCGGCAUUCAUGCCGGUUGGUCUGCCAAGCGUGGUGACUUGGUACUGAUGAGCAGCCAAAG